AGGCAUAUUGUAUGGACAUGUUUCAAAUCAAAGAUAAGAUUGAAAAUUUUUAGAAGAAAACUUAAUAAACACAGAUAUGGUUAUCAUCCUCCAAACUAACUCUCAUGCAUUGUUGUUGCCAAAAGAAAUUGACGGAAUAAAAUAGGAAUUUCAAGUGUGGAUGAAUGGCGUUACAUUGCACAAGAUAUUUGACAACAAAAAUUAAUGAUACAAAGGUUACUACACAUGCAAAGGGAUGUACACACCUUUUACUACAAUGUAACUCAUGGAAAGAUCCCCUUUAAUUGAAAAGGAAAUUGUAUAUUCAUAGUAAAGAAUCAAACAUCAAGUAUGCAUGUGUUUCUCUUAUUUAUUUUGCAUCAAAACAAAUUCAAUUAAAUUUGUCAAAGAAAAGUUUAAAAUUC
Molecule: long non-coding RNA, 404 nt
Organism: Trifolium pratense (red clover)
Lineage: Eukaryota; Viridiplantae; Streptophyta; Magnoliopsida; Fabales; Fabaceae
Exons: 3
Source: RefSeq, a predicted model, not a curated record